Molecule: unclassified non-coding RNA, 300 nt
Filed under: uncultured fungus
Lineage: Eukaryota; Fungi
Description: sequence contains 5.8S rRNA gene, ITS2
Rfam family: 5.8S ribosomal RNA (bases 1-72)
Source: RNAcentral
GUGAAUCAUCGAAUCUUUGAACGCAACUUGCGCUCCCGGGAUAUGCCUGGGAGCAUGCUUUCUUGAGCGUCGGUUCUAUCAUCAUCUCACUGAUCUUUUUUGGAUUAGUGGAGAAUGAGUUUCCAAUAGUGUUCACUCGCUGUUGGAGGCUUGAAAUAAUUGAUUGGGGCAUCUCUUAGCGAAUCGAUCUCGAGGCGCACUAUAUGCUCUGUGACGUGGAUAAUUUCACCUUCAGUGGUGUAUCCUCAACGUUGCAGAGUAGCAUCUUGAGGCUUGGUUGGCACCGAUAAAAAGGGGAGA